RNAcentral lists this ribosomal RNA (253 nucleotides) under uncultured bacterium. RNAcentral describes it as "partial 16S ribosomal RNA". It matches the Rfam family "Bacterial small subunit ribosomal RNA", at positions 524 to 776 of the family's 1533-position model. The record is from RNAcentral.
UACGGAGGGUGCAAGCGUUAUCCGGAUUCACUGGGUUUGAAGGGUGCGUAGGUGGGUUGGUAAGUCAGUGGUGAAAUCUCCGAGCUUAACUUGGAAACUGCCAUUGAUACUAUCAGUCUUGAAUAUUGUGGAGGUUAGCGGAAUAUGUCAUGUAGCGGUGAAAUGCUUAGAUAUGACAUAGAACACCAAUUGCGAAGGCAGCUGGCUACACAUAUAUUGACACUGAGGCACGAAAGCGUGGGGAUCAAACAGG